Molecule: ribosomal RNA, 348 nt
Filed under: uncultured bacterium
Lineage: Bacteria
Description: partial 16S ribosomal RNA
Rfam family: Bacterial small subunit ribosomal RNA
Source: RNAcentral
CCUACGGGAGGCUGCAGUGGGGAAUAUUGCACAAUGGGGGAAACCCUGAUGCAGCGACGCCGCGUGAGCGAUGAAGGAGUUCGGGAGGUAAAGCGCUAGCAGCAGGGAAGAAAAUGACGGUACCUGACUAAGAAGCCCCGGCUAACUACGUGCCAGCAGCCGCGGUAAUACGUAGGGGGCAAGCGUUAUCCGGAUUUACUGGGUGUAAAGGGAGCGGAGACGGCGGUGCAAGCCAGAUGUGAAAGCCCGGGGCUCAACCCCGGGACUGCAUUUGGAACUGUGCUGCUAGAGUGUCGGAGAGGCAGGCGGAAUUCCUCGUGUAGCGGUGAACUGCGUCGAUAUUAGGAG